UACAGAGGGGGCAAGCGUUAUUCGGAAUUAUUGGGCGUAAAGAGCGCGUAGGCGGCCUUGCAAGUGACGGGUGAAAUCCCUCGGCUUAACCGAGGAACUGCCUGUCAGACUGUAAGGCUUGAGACCGGGAGAGGUGAGUGGAAUUCCCAGUGUAGCGGUGAAAUGCGUAGAUAUUGGGAGGAACACCAGUGGCGAAGGCGGCUCACUGGACCGGAACUGACGCUGAGGCGCGAAAGCGUGGGGAGCAAACAGG
This 253-nucleotide ribosomal RNA is filed under the name uncultured bacterium. RNAcentral's name for it is "partial 16S ribosomal RNA". It matches the Rfam family "Bacterial small subunit ribosomal RNA", at positions 524 to 776 of the family's 1533-position model. The record is from RNAcentral.